Molecule: transfer RNA, 76 nt
Filed under: Alicyclobacillus sp.
Lineage: Bacteria; Bacillati; Bacillota; Bacilli; Caryophanales; Alicyclobacillaceae
Also listed under: 12 other names
Description: tRNA-Pro
Rfam family: tRNA
About the family: Transfer RNA (tRNA) molecules are approximately 80 nucleotides in length. Their secondary structure includes four short double-helical elements and three loops (D, anti-codon, and T loops).
Source: RNAcentral
CGGAAUGUAGCUCAGGUGGUAGAGCGCACGGUUCGGGACCGUGAGGUCGCAGGUUCGAGUCCUGUCAUUCCGACCA